UGGGGGAUAUUGCACAAUGGGCGAAAGCCUGAUGCAGCGACGCCGCGUGGGGGAUGAAGGCUUUCGGGUUGUAAACCUCUUUCGCUAUCGAACAAGGCCCGCUUAGGGUGGGUUGAGGGUAGGUGGAGAAGAAGCGCCGGCUAACUACGUGCCAGCAGCCGCGGUAAUACGUAGGGCGCGAGCGCUGUCCGGAAUUAUUGGGCGUAAAGGGCUUGUAGGCGGCUUGUUGCGCCUGCUGUGAAAACGCGGGGCUUAACUUCGCGCGUGCAGUGGGUACGGGCAGGAUUGAGUGUGGUAGGGGUGACUGGAAUUCCAGGUGUAGCGGUGGAAUGCGCAGAUAUCUGGAGGAACACCGAUGGCGAAGGCAGGUCACUGGGCCAUUACUGACGCUGAGGAGCGAAAGCAUGGGUAGCGAACAGG
RNAcentral lists this ribosomal RNA (420 nucleotides) under bacterium. Its description in RNAcentral is "partial 16S ribosomal RNA". It matches the Rfam family "Bacterial small subunit ribosomal RNA", at positions 355 to 776 of the family's 1533-position model. The record is from RNAcentral.